GUCUGGGCCAAAAUCUAUGUUAUCCUUGACAUGGUCGCUGGUGGAGAGGGGCGAUGACAACUGAGAAGAUUCUGGGAACAACACAAAAUACUCUGCAAAAGACAGCCAAGAGCUCUGCCUGUCUACUCCCAGGCUGAAACAAGGAGCUGUAUUUUAAAGUAUUUUACAGUAAAAGAGCUGCCACAAAUCAUUACUGACAUGGCCUAAUUGCAACACUGAACAGUCGAUGGAAAACUCAGCCAUUUCCUCUUGUUCUCCAGACUACUGAAGGUUGAAGCUUGGAUAAACAGAGCACGGGAAGCUGAUGAGAGUUUAAAAAAAAUACAGGGAUUCACACACUUCCACCCCUUGGCAUCCCUAAUCUUUUCCAUGAGUCAGUCAGUAUUGAGCUCAUGUUGUUCACAGUGGAGUACUUGAUCCGCAGUCCACACCAAAGCUUCCCAGCAGCAGAGUUCCCAUGAACAACCUCUCUGGGAGAAACGGCCGAGUUGGCAAGCAGACGUCGACCACUAGAGAAGGCCGUUUACGCUCUGUGACAAAUCACAUGACUCGUGGUGUAAAGGGAGUAUACCGACAUGAGUUAAAACAAUGCAUCUGCUUCUAUUGAUGCGUUUGGGUUUGAGUCUGCCAUGUGAAAACUGCUUCCUCUUUCCAUGGCUUCCUCCCACCCAAUGUUCCUCUCGAAUAAAGCUGCAAACACGGCCAAGUAGAAAGCAGUCAGAGGAACAGAACAUCCCAAGUUUAAAGCCUGUAUUUAUACACUCAGAUACCAUUCAAAAGAAUAACUGCGUCACUUUUGCAUGACCAGAGUUACAAUGCAUGUCAAGCAUUGCGGUAAAGGUGCAAACACACUCACGACGUAUCUAUAGCCAGAGCACACUCUUGAAUUAAGGACAAGGUUGACCUCUGCAGCGGCUUUGAUUGACCACUUCAGAUACAGGCUCCACAGGCAGGAAUUAUCUACAGCUGAUACCACACAGACCGCACGUUUUGUGGUGGACCAAGAGCUGCCCAUGUGAAAACAAGCUGCGCAAAGGAAUGCAAAUGACCUGGUUAUCUUGGAAGAGCUGAAUGCCUGGUUCUGUGCAAAGCAGUGCAAGGCGUUUCCAGCCUGCUUGUUGUUUUGAAAAAAAAAAAAGGAAGAAAGAAAAAAAAAAGAUGAGGUCAUUUACAAAGCCCUCUCCAUCCCCUGUG
Molecule: long non-coding RNA, 1194 nt
Organism: Poecilia latipinna (sailfin molly)
Lineage: Eukaryota; Metazoa; Chordata; Actinopteri; Cyprinodontiformes; Poeciliidae
Exons: 3
Source: RefSeq, a predicted model, not a curated record